This 254-nucleotide ribosomal RNA is filed under the name uncultured bacterium. Its description in RNAcentral is "partial 16S ribosomal RNA". It matches the Rfam family "Bacterial small subunit ribosomal RNA", at positions 524 to 776 of the family's 1533-position model. The record is from RNAcentral.
GACAGAGGGUGCAAACGUUGUUCGGAAUUACUGGGCGUAAAGCGCGUGUAGGCGGCCCUGCAAGUCGGGUGUGAAAUCCCACGGCUCAACCGUGGAAGUGCACUCGAAACUGCAGGGCUAGAGUCCUGGAGAGGAAGGUGGAAUGCUUGGUGUAGAGGUGAAAUUCGUAGAUAUUCGGAAGAACACCAGUGGCGAAGGCGAACUUACUGGACACAUAUUGACGCUGAGGUGCGAAAGCGUGGGGAGCAAACAGG